GGGUUGUGAGGUUAAGCGACUAAGCGUACACGGUGGAUGCCCUGGCAGUCAGAGGCGAUGAAGGACGUGCUAAUCUGCGAUAAGCGUCGGUAAGGUGAUAUGAACCGUUAUAACCGGCGAUUUCCGAAUGGGGAAACCCAGUGUGUUUCGACACACUAUCAUUAACUGAAUCCAUAGGUUAAUGAGGCGAACCGGGGGAACUGAAACAUCUAAGUACCCCGAGGAAAAGAAAUCAACCGAGAUUCCCCCAGUAGCGGCGAGCGAACGGGGAGCAGCCCAGAGCCUGAAUCAGUGUGUGUGUUAGUGGAAGCGUCUGGAAAGGCGCGCGAUACAGGGUGACAGCCCCGUACACAAAAAUGCACAUGCUGUGAGCUCGAUGAGUAGGGCGGGACACGUGGUAUCCUGUCUGAAUAUGGGGGGACCAUCCUCCAAGGCUAAAUACUCCUGACUGACCGAUAGUGAACCAGUACCGUGAGGGAAAGGCGAAAAGAACCCCGGCGAGGGGAGUGAAAAAGAACCUGAAACCGUGUACGUACAAGCAGUGGGAGCACGCUUAGGCGUGUGACUGCGUACCUUUUGUAUAAUGGGUCAGCGACUUAUAUUCUGUAGCAAGGUUAACCGAAUAGGGGAGCCGAAGGGAAACCGAGUCUUAACUGGGCGUUAAGUUGCAGGGUAUAGACCCGAAACCCGGUGAUCUAGCCAUGGGCAGGUUGAAGGUUGGGUAACACUAACUGGAGGACCGAACCGACUAAUGUUGAAAAAUUAGCGGAUGACUUGUGGCUGGGGGUGAAAGGCCAAUCAAACCGGGAGAUAGCUGGUUCUCCCCGAAAGCUAUUUAGGUAGCGCCUCGUGAAUUCAUCUCCGGGGGUAGAGCACUGUUUCGGCAAGGGGGUCAUCCCGACUUACCAACCCGAUGCAAACUGCGAAUACCGGAGAAUGUUAUCACGGGAGACACACGGCGGGUGCUAACGUCCGUCGUGAAGAGGGAAACAACCCAGACCGCCAGCUAAGGUCCCAAAGUCAUGGUUAAGUGGGAAACGAUGUGGGAAGGCCCAGACAGCCAGGAUGUUGGCUUAGAAGCAGCCAUCAUUUAAAGAAAGCGUAAUAGCUCACUGGUCGAGUCGGCCUGCGCGGAAGAUGUAACGGGGCUAAACCAUGCACCGAAGCUGCGGCAGCGACGCUGAUGCGUUGUUGGGUAGGGGAGCGUUCUGUAAGCCUGCGAAGGUGUGCUGUGAGGCAUGCUGGAGGUAUCAGAAGUGCGAAUGCUGACAUAAGUAACGAUAAAGCGGGUGAAAAGCCCGCUCGCCGGAAGACCAAGGGUUCCUGUCCAACGUUAAUCGGGGCAGGGUGAGUCGACCCCUAAGGCGAGGCCGAAAGGCGUAGUCGAUGGGAAACAGGUUAAUAUUCCUGUACUUGGUGUUACUGCGAAGGGGGGACGGAGAAGGCUAUGUUGGCCGGGCGACGGUUGUCCCGGUUUAAGCGUGUAGGCUGGUUUUCCAGGCAAAUCCGGAAAAUCAAGGCUGAGGCGUGAUGACGAGGCACUACGGUGCUGAAGCAACAAAUGCCCUGCUUCCAGGAAAAGCCUCUAAGCAUCAGGUAACAUCAAAUCGUACCCCAAACCGACACAGGUGGUCAGGUAGAGAAUACCAAGGCGCUUGAGAGAACUCGGGUGAAGGAACUAGGCAAAAUGGUGCCGUAACUUCGGGAGAAGGCACGCUGAUAUGUAGGUGAAGUCCCUUGCGGAUGGAGCUGAAAUCAGUCGAAGAUACCAGCUGGCUGCAACUGUUUAUUAAAAACACAGCACUGUGCAAACACGAAAGUGGACGUAUACGGUGUGACGCCUGCCCGGUGCCGGAAGGUUAAUUGAUGGGGUCAGCGCAAGCGAAGCUCUUGAUCGAAGCCCCGGUAAACGGCGGCCGUAACUAUAACGGUCCUAAGGUAGCGAAAUUCCUUGUCGGGUAAGUUCCGACCUGCACGAAUGGCGUAAUGAUGGCCAGGCUGUCUCCACCCGAGACUCAGUGAAAUUGAACUCGCUGUGAAGAUGCAGUGUACCCGCGGCAAGACGGAAAGACCCCGUGAACCUUUACUAUAGCUUGACACUGAACAUUGAGCCUUGAUGUGUAGGAUAGGUGGGAGGCUUAGAAGUGUGGACGCCAGUCUGCAUGGAGCCGACCUUGAAAUACCACCCUUUAAUGUUUGAUGUUCUAACGUUGACCCGUAAUCCGGGUUGCGGACAGUGUCUGGUGGGUAGUUUGACUGGGGCGGUCUCCUCCUAAAGAGUAACGGAGGAGCACGAAGGUUGGCUAAUCCUGGUCGGACAUCAGGAGGUUAGUGCAAUGGCAUAAGCCAGCUUGACUGCGAGCGUGACGGCGCGAGCAGGUGCGAAAGCAGGUCAUAGUGAUCCGGUGGUUCUGAAUGGAAGGGCCAUCGCUCAACGGAUAAAAGGUACUCCGGGGAUAACAGGCUGAUACCGCCCAAGAGUUCAUAUCGACGGCGGUGUUUGGCACCUCGAUGUCGGCUCAUCACAUCCUGGGGCUGAAGUAGGUCCCAAGGGUAUGGCUGUUCGCCAUUUAAAGUGGUACGCGAGCUGGGUUUAGAACGUCGUGAGACAGUUCGGUCCCUAUCUGCCGUGGGCGCUGGAGAACUGAGGGGGGCUGCUCCUAGUACGAGAGGACCGGAGUGGACGCAUCACUGGUGUUCGGGUUGUCAUGCCAAUGGCACUGCCCGGUAGCUAAAUGCGGAAGAGAUAAGUGCUGAAAGCAUCUAAGCACGAAACUUGCCCCGAGAUGAGUUCUCCCUGACUCCUUGAGAGUCCUGAAGGAACGUUGAAGACGACGACGUUGAUAGGCCGGGUGUGUAAGCGCAGCGAUGCGUUGAGCUAACCGGUACUAAUGAACCGUGAGGCUUAACCUUACAACGCCGAAGGUGUUU
RNAcentral lists this ribosomal RNA (2931 nucleotides) under Escherichia coli. RNAcentral describes it as "bacterial LSU rRNA". It matches the Rfam family "Bacterial large subunit ribosomal RNA". Lineage: Bacteria; Pseudomonadati; Pseudomonadota; Gammaproteobacteria; Enterobacterales; Enterobacteriaceae. The record is from RNAcentral.